RNAcentral lists this ribosomal RNA (439 nucleotides) under uncultured bacterium. RNAcentral describes it as "bacterial SSU rRNA". It matches the Rfam family "Bacterial small subunit ribosomal RNA", at positions 954 to 1392 of the family's 1533-position model. The record is from RNAcentral.
GCAUAACGCGAAGAACCUUACCAGGUCUUGACAUCCUUUUGACCGGUCCCUAACCGGACCUUCUCUUCGGAGCAAAAGUGACAGGUGGUGCAUGGUUGUCGUCAGCUCGUGUCGUGAGAUGUUGGGUUAAGUCCCGCAACGAGCGCAACCCCUAUCUUUAGUAGCCAGCAGUUCGGCUGGGCACUCUAGAGAGACUGCCAGGGAUAACCUGGAGGAAGGUGGGGAUGACGUCAAAUCAUCAUGCCCCUUAUGAUCUGGGCUACACACGUGCUACAAUGGUGACAACAAAGGGAAGCAGCCUCGUGAGAGUGAGCAAAAUCCCAAAAAAGUCAUCUCAGUUCGGAUUGUAGUCUGCAACUCGACUACAUGAAGCUGGAAUCGCUAGUAAUCGCGAAUCAGAAUGUCGCGGUGAAUACGUUCCCGGGUCUUGUACACACCG